UUGGAUUUGAUUGUUUAGGAUUCUAGGGUUAAGGGUUUUAAAAUUUAGGGUUUAGCGUUUGAUGGUUUAGAAUUUUAGGAUCAAGGGUUUAGGGUUUCAGAAUUUAGGAUUUAGGGUUUGAUAAUUUAGGGUUCUAAAGUAAGGGUUUAGCGUUUUAGAAUUUAGGGUUUAGGGUUUGCUGGUUUAGGAUUUUAAGGUUAAGGGUUCUGAGUUUUAGAAUUUAGGGUUUAGAGUUUAAGGGUUUAGGGUUAUAUUAUUUUAGAGUUUAGAAUUUAGGGUUUAGGAUUUUAAAAUUUCGGCAUAUACGAAAGUUCCGACGGA
This 321-nucleotide long non-coding RNA is filed under the name Linum usitatissimum (flax). RNAcentral describes it as "long non-coding RNA (LUSI_LNC007399)". The record is from RNAcentral. Lineage: Eukaryota; Viridiplantae; Streptophyta; Magnoliopsida; Malpighiales; Linaceae.